This 2924-nucleotide ribosomal RNA is filed under the name Escherichia coli. Its description in RNAcentral is "23S ribosomal RNA". It matches the Rfam family "Bacterial large subunit ribosomal RNA". The record is from RNAcentral. Lineage: Bacteria; Pseudomonadati; Pseudomonadota; Gammaproteobacteria; Enterobacterales; Enterobacteriaceae.
GGGUUGUGAGGUUAAGCGACUAAGCGUACACGGUGGAUGCCCUGGCAGUCAGAGGCGAUGAAGGACGUGCUAAUCUGCGAUAAGCGUCGGUAAGGUGAUAUGAACCGUUAUAACCGGCGAUUUCCGAAUGGGGAAACCCAGUGUGUUUCGACACACUAUCAUUAACUGAAUCCAUAGGUUAAUGAGGCGAACCGGGGGAACUGAAACAUCUAAGUACCCCGAGGAAAAGAAAUCAACCGAGAUUCCCCCAGUAGCGGCGAGCGAACGGGGAGCAGCCCAGAGCCUGAAUCAGUGUGUGUGUUAGUGGAAGCGUCUGGAAAGGCGUGCGAUACAGGGUGACAGCCCCGUACACAAAAAUGCACAUGCUGUGAGCUCGAUGAGUAGGGCGGGACACGUGGUAUCCUGUCUGAAUAUGGGGGGACCAUCCUCCAAGGCUAAAUACUCCUGACUGACCGAUAGUGAACCAGUACCGUGAGGGAAAGGCGAAAAGAACCCCGGCGAGGGGAGUGAAAAAGAACCUGAAACCGUGUACGUACAAGCAGUGGGAGCACGCUUAGGCGUGUGACUGCGUACCUUUUGUAUAAUGGGUCAGCGACUUAUAUUCUGUAGCAAGGUUAACCGAAUAGGGGAGCCGAAGGGAAACCGAGUCUUAACUGGGCGUUAAGUUGCAGGGUAUAGACCCGAAACCCGGUGAUCUAGCCAUGGGCAGGUUGAAGGUUGGGUAACACUAACUGGAGGACCGAACCGACUAAUGUUGAAAAAUUAGCGGAUGACUUGUGGCUGGGGGUGAAAGGCCAAUCAAACCGGGAGAUAGCUGGUUCUCCCCGAAAGCUAUUUAGGUAGCGCCUCGUGAAUUCAUCUCCGGGGGUAGAGCACUGUUUCGGCAAGGGGGUCAUCCCGACUUACCAACCCGAUGCAAACUGCGAAUACCGGAGAAUGUUAUCACGGGAGACACACGGCGGGUGCUAACGUCCGUCGUGAAGAGGGAAACAACCCAGACCGCCAGCUAAGGUCCCAAAGUCAUGGUUAAGUGGGAAACGAUGUGGGAAGGCCCAGACAGCCAGGAUGUUGGCUUAGAAGCAGCCAUCAUUUAAAGAAAGCGUAAUAGCUCACUGGUCGAGUCGGCCUGCGCGGAAGAUGUAACGGGGCUAAACCAUGCACCGAAGCUGCGGCAGCGACGCUGAUGCGUUGUUGGGUAGGGGAGCGUUCUGUAAGCCUGCGAAGGUGUACUGUGAGGCAUGCUGGAGGUAUCAGAAGUGCGAAUGCUGACAUAAGUAACGAUAAAGCGGGUGAAAAGCCCGCUCGCCGGAAGACCAAGGGUUCCUGUCCAACGUUAAUCGGGGCAGGGUGAGUCGACCCCUAAGGCGAGGCCGAAAGGCGUAGUCGAUGGGAAACAGGUUAAUAUUCCUGUACUUGGUGUUACUGCGAAGGGGGGACGGAGAAGGCUAUGUUGGCCGGGCGACGGUUGUCCCGGUUUAAGCGUGUAGGCUGGUUUUCCAGGCAAAUCCGGAAAAUCAAGGCUGAGGCGUGAUGACGAGGCACUACGGUGCUGAAGCAACAAAUGCCCUGCUUCCAGGAAAAGCCUCUAAGCAUCAGGUAACAUCAAAUCGUACCCCAAACCGACACAGGUGGUCAGGUAGAGAAUACCAAGGCGCUUGAGAGAACUCGGGUGAAGGAACUAGGCAAAAUGGUGCCGUAACUUCGGGAGAAGGCACGCUGAUAUGUAGGUGAAGCGACUUGCUCGUGGAGCUGAAAUCAGUCGAAGAUACCAGCUGGCUGCAACUGUUUAUUAAAAACACAGCACUGUGCAAACACGAAAGUGGACGUAUACGGUGUGACGCCUGCCCGGUGCCGGAAGGUUAAUUGAUGGGGUCAGCGCAAGCGAAGCUCUUGAUCGAAGCCCCGGUAAACGGCGGCCGUAACUAUAACGGUCCUAAGGUAGCGAAAUUCCUUGUCGGGUAAGUUCCGACCUGCACGAAUGGCGUAAUGAUGGCCAGGCUGUCUCCACCCGAGACUCAGUGAAAUUGAACUCGCUGUGAAGAUGCAGUGUACCCGCGGCAAGACGGAAAGACCCCGUGAACCUUUACUAUAGCUUGACACUGAACAUUGAGCCUUGAUGUGUAGGAUAGGUGGGAGGCUUUGAAGUGUGGACGCCAGUCUGCAUGGAGCCGACCUUGAAAUACCACCCUUUAAUGUUUGAUGUUCUAACGUUGACCCGUGAUCCGGGUUGCGGACAGUGUCUGGUGGGUAGUUUGACUGGGGCGGUCUCCUCCUAAAGAGUAACGGAGGAGCACGAAGGUUGGCUAAUCCUGGUCGGACAUCAGGAGGUUAGUGCAAUGGCAUAAGCCAGCUUGACUGCGAGCGUGACGGCGCGAGCAGGUGCGAAAGCAGGUCAUAGUGAUCCGGUGGUUCUGAAUGGAAGGGCCAUCGCUCAACGGAUAAAAGGUACUCCGGGGAUAACAGGCUGAUACCGCCCAAGAGUUCAUAUCGACGGCGGUGUUUGGCACCUCGAUGUCGGCUCAUCACAUCCUGGGGCUGAAGUAGGUCCCAAGGGUAUGGCUGUUCGCCAUUUAAAGUGGUACGCGAGCUGGGUUUAGAACGUCGUGAGACAGUUCGGUCCCUAUCUGCCGUGGGCGCUGGAGAACUGAGGGGGCUGCUCCUAGUACGAGAGGACCGGAGUGGACGCAUCACUGGUGUUCGGGUUGUCAUGCCAAUGGCACUGCCCGGUAGCUAAAUGCGGAAGAGAUAAGUGCUGAAAGCAUCUAAGCACGAAACUUGCCCCGAGAUGAGUUCUCCCUGACUCCUUGAGAGUCCUGAAGGAACGUUGAAGACGACGACGUUGAUAGGCCGGGUGUGUAAGCGCAGCGAUGCGUUGAGCUAACCGGUACUAAUGAACCGUGAGGCUUAACCUUACAACGCCGAAG